GAACGCACAUUGCGCCCCCUGGUAUUCCGGGGGGCAUGCCUGUUCGAGCGUCAUUAACACCACUCAAGCUCAGCUUGGUAUUGGGCUCCGCCAGCAAUGGCCAACCCCAAACUCAGUGGCGGCACCGUUGGGUCCCGAGCGUAGUAAACAUCUCGCUGAGGGUUCCCCGCGGUUGACGACCAACCCCGAUUUUCUCAGGUUGACCUCGGAUCAGGUAGGAAUACCCGCUGAACUUAAG
Molecule: unclassified non-coding RNA, 238 nt
Filed under: uncultured fungus
Lineage: Eukaryota; Fungi
Description: sequence contains 5.8S rRNA gene
Rfam family: 5.8S ribosomal RNA (bases 1-53)
Source: RNAcentral